Molecule: ribosomal RNA, 224 nt
Filed under: Candidatus Merdinaster equi
Lineage: Bacteria; Bacillati; Bacillota; Clostridia; Lachnospirales; Lachnospiraceae
Description: partial 23S ribosomal RNA
Rfam family: Bacterial large subunit ribosomal RNA
Source: RNAcentral
UGGACGGACCACUGGUGUACCUGUUGGCGACCAACGCCAUAGCAGGGUAGCCAAGUCCGGCAGGGAUAAACGCUGAAGGCAUCUAAGCGUGAAGCCCCCCUCAAGAUGAGAUAUCCCAACGCAAGUUGUAAGACCCCUUGAAGACGACGAGGUAGAUAGGCUUAAGGUGUAAGUGCAGAGAUGCAUUCAGCUGAUAAGUACUAAUCGGUCGAGGGCUUAUCCAG